Molecule: transfer RNA, 70 nt
Filed under: Kichulchoia multifasciata
Lineage: Eukaryota; Metazoa; Chordata; Actinopteri; Cypriniformes; Cobitidae
Description: tRNA-Val
Source: RNAcentral
AUAGUUAAGCAUCUCCCUUACACCGAGAAGACAUCCAUGCAAGUUGGAUCGCCCUGAGCUAAACAGCUAG